ACGCUUUGUAGCAAUACUGGGCGUUAGUGGCAGACGGGUGAGUAACACGUGGGUGACCUACCUUAAAGUGGGGAAUAACGGUCCGAAAGGAUCGCUAAGACCGCAUGUGCUCGAUGGCUCAAUCUAUCGAGUAAAACUGCAAAGUGCUUUGAGAGGGGCCCGCGGCCCAUCAGGUAGUUGGUGAGGUAAUGGCCCACCAAGCCGGUGAAGGGUAGCUGUUCUGAGAGGACGAUCAGCCACAAUGGAUCUGCUCCUCGGUGGAUGAUCCUACNNGAGCUUCCUCCCGUUGGGGUU
This 294-nucleotide unclassified non-coding RNA is filed under the name uncultured bacterium. RNAcentral describes it as "partial contains 16S ribosomal RNA and 16S-23S ribosomal RNA intergenic spacer region". It matches the Rfam family "Bacterial small subunit ribosomal RNA", at positions 69 to 347 of the family's 1533-position model. The record is from RNAcentral.